Molecule: ribosomal RNA, 440 nt
Filed under: uncultured bacterium
Lineage: Bacteria
Description: partial 16S ribosomal RNA
Rfam family: Bacterial small subunit ribosomal RNA
Source: RNAcentral
CCUACGGGAUGCAGCAGUGGGGAAUAUUGCACAAUGGGGGAAACCCUGAUGCAGCGACGCCGCGUGAAGGAAGAAGUAUUUCGGUAUGUAAACUUCUAUCAGCAGGGAAGAGAAUGACGGUACCUGACUAAGAAGCCCCGGCUAACUACGUGCCAGCAGCCGCGGUAAUACGUAGGGGGCAAGCGUUACCCGGAUUUACUGGGUGUAAAGGGAGCGUUGGCGGUGCAGCAAGUCAGAAGUGAAAGCCCGGGGCUCAACUCCGGGACUGCUUUUGAAACUGUUGAACUAGAUUGCAGGAGAGGUAAGUGGAAUUCCUAGUGUAGCGGUGAAAUGCGUAGAUAUUAGGAGGAACACCGGUGGCGAAGGCGGCUUGCUGGACGGUAACUGACGUUGAGGCUCGAAAGCGUGGGGAGCAAACAGGAUUAGAUACCCUUGUAGUC